CCUACGGGUGGCAGCAGUGAGGAAUAUUGGUCAAUGGGCGGAAGCCUGAACCAGCCAAGUAGCGUGCAGGAUGACGGCCCUACGGGUUGUAAACUGCUUUUAUACGGGAAUAACGCGCCUUACGUGUAGGGCUUUGCAUGUACCGUAUGAAUAAGGACCGGCUAAUUCCGUGCCAGCAGCCGCGGUAAUACGGAAGGUCCGGGCGUUAUCCGGAUUUAGUGGGUUUAAAGGGAGCGUAGGCCGCAUGUCAAGCGUGCUGUGAAAUGUCCGGGCUCAACCCGGGCCUUGCAGCGCGAACUGGCGUGCUUGCGUCCGCGGAACGCAGGCGGACUUCGUCGUGUCGCGGUGAACUGCUUAGAUCUGACGACGAACCCCGCUUGCUACGGCAGCUUGCUGCAGCGGAACUGACGCUGCUGCUCGACCGCGCGGGUCUCGAACCGUCUUCGCUACCCGGUAGUC
This 459-nucleotide ribosomal RNA is filed under the name uncultured bacterium. Its description in RNAcentral is "partial 16S ribosomal RNA". It matches the Rfam family "Bacterial small subunit ribosomal RNA", at positions 338 to 795 of the family's 1533-position model. The record is from RNAcentral.